RNAcentral lists this ribosomal RNA (497 nucleotides) under uncultured bacterium. RNAcentral's name for it is "partial 16S ribosomal RNA". It matches the Rfam family "Bacterial small subunit ribosomal RNA", at positions 28 to 507 of the family's 1533-position model. The record is from RNAcentral.
GAUGAACGCUGGCGGCGUGCCUAAUACAUGCAAGUCGAACGAGCAGACGAGGAGCUUGCUCCUCUGACGUUAGCGGCGGACGGGUGAGUAACACGUGGAUAACCUACCUAUAAGACUGGGAUAACUUCGGGAAACCGGAGCUAAUACCGGAUAAUAUAUUGAACCGCAUGGUUCAAUAGUGAAAGACGGUUUUGCUGUCACUUAUAGAUGGAUCCGCGCCGCAUUAGCUAGUUGGUAAGGUAACGGCUUACCAAGGCGACGAUGCGUAGCCGACCUGAGAGGGUGAUCGGCCACACUGGAACUGAGACACGGUCCAGACUCCUACGGGAGGCAGCAGUAGGGAAUCUUCCGCAAUGGGCGAAAGCCUGACGGAGCAACGCCGCGUGAGUGAUGAAGGUCUUCGGAUCGUAAAACUCUGUUAUUAGGGAAGAACAAAUGUGUAAGUAACUAUGCACGUCUUGACGGUACCUAAUCAGAAAGCCACGGCUAACUACGUG